UACGUAGGGUGCAGGCGUUAAUCGGAAUUACUGGGCGUAAAGCGUGCGCAGGCGGUCUAUUAAGACAGGUGUGAAAUCCCCGGGCUUAACCUGGGAACUGCGCUUGUAACUGAUAGGCUUGAGUGUGGCAGAGGGGGGUGGAAUUCCAGGUGUAGCAGUGAAAUGCGUAGAUAUCUGGAGGAACACCGAUGGCGAAGGCAGCCCCCUGGGCUAACACUGACGCUCAUGCACGAAAGCGUGGGGAGCAAACAG
Molecule: ribosomal RNA, 252 nt
Filed under: uncultured bacterium
Lineage: Bacteria
Description: partial 16S ribosomal RNA
Rfam family: Bacterial small subunit ribosomal RNA
Source: RNAcentral